Molecule: transfer RNA, 72 nt
Filed under: Caudoviricetes sp.
Lineage: Duplodnaviria; Heunggongvirae; Uroviricota; Caudoviricetes
Description: tRNA-Met
Rfam family: tRNA
About the family: Transfer RNA (tRNA) molecules are approximately 80 nucleotides in length. Their secondary structure includes four short double-helical elements and three loops (D, anti-codon, and T loops).
Source: RNAcentral
GCACAUUUAGAGAAACGGUAAUCUCGCUAGUCUCAUAAGCUAGAAACAUUGGGUUCGACUCCCAAAUGUGCA